GACGAACGCUGGCGGCGCGCCUAACACAUGCAAGUCGAACGAGCGAGAGAGAGUUUACUUUUUCGAGCGAGUGGCGAACGGGUGAGUAACGCGUGAGGAACCUGCCUCAAAGAGGGGGACAACAGUUGGAAACGACUGCUAAUACCGCAUAAGCCCACGACCCGGCAUCGGGUAGAGGGAAAAGGAGCAAUCCGCUUUGAGAUGGCCUCGCGUCCGAUUAGCUAGUUGGUGAGGUAACGGCCCACCAAGGCGACGAUCGGUAGCCGGACUGAGAGGUUGAACGGCCACAUUGGGACUGAGACACGGCCCAGACUCCUACGGGAGGCAGCAGUGGGGAAUAUUGCACAAUGGGGGAAACCCUGAUGCAGCGACGCCGCGUGGAGGAAGAAGGUCUUCGGAUUGUAAACUCCUGUUGUUGAGGAAGAUAAAUGACGGUACUCAACAAGGAAGUGACGGCUAAACUACGUG
This 468-nucleotide ribosomal RNA is filed under the name uncultured bacterium. RNAcentral describes it as "bacterial SSU rRNA". It matches the Rfam family "Bacterial small subunit ribosomal RNA", at positions 28 to 507 of the family's 1533-position model. The record is from RNAcentral.